Long non-coding RNA from Daphnia magna, 899 nucleotides. RefSeq lists it as uncharacterized. Lineage: Eukaryota; Metazoa; Arthropoda; Branchiopoda; Diplostraca; Daphniidae. The record is from RefSeq and is a predicted model, not a curated record. The transcript has 3 exons.
UAGCAUCUGGCGAGAGUGCUGUGGAACUUCGAAAGUUCGGGGCUUCGGGCAUAACAGCUGGUCUGUCUGCUACUGAAUUGUUGGGUUUACGUUAAUGGAAUGUUAAAAUGAAAAGAGUUUUAUAUUUAAUAAAGAAAAUAGAAGAGAAAAUAAACAUUUCUGCUGCGAGUCCGCAUAUCUUGCUGAUCUUCAAAACUGACAUUCGGCUUGGAAGCUUCCAUAUUUUUCGUGCAAAACGCUUUCAGAAUUCCAACAUAUAGGUGAACAUAUAGGUGAAGUGAUGUAAUAUGGCGUCACAUGUCAGAAGCAAGUUGACUUUAAGAAUUACCAUCUGUAUGGUGUGGAUUUUAUUACGACCAAGUGCAACAUGCUAGGGCUACGCAAGACUGUCUGGUUUGCACAGGCAGUACACUGCAGACUAGAAAACUGAACCAUUAACUGCAAAUGAGUCUGUGCAUCUUAAGAAGAAAAAGUUAUCUUUCUAUUUUCUGUGCAUCGUAAGAAGAAAAAGUUAUCUUUCUAUUUUUUGUGCAUCGUAAGAAGAAAAAGUAAUCUUUCUAUUAGGUUUACUUACAAAUGCUGAAUUACAUAAGCUGACCAGCUGGAAAUGUUUUAUCUGCUCAACCUAUGGUAAAAACUGAAUCCUCACAGUCACACCACCUACUCCAUACACUUGACUGUGUGACACCAAUACUUUAAACCAGUUGAAUUCAAUAGUAGUUGAAUGAACAAAACGACUUAUCAAUACUUGAACGGAAUAAAAAAAAAAACGGCAAUUGCACUAAACCCAUAUUGACACGUUCAGGUUUGUGAACUUCACUACCUCUCGCCAUUCCAGCUUUUACUAUGUAUUGAUAGAUGCCGAACACUGUUUACAGAAUAAAGAGCCAAACCCAGAA